CUGUGGAGAUGGGAGAGCCUUACUGAAGGACAACCAUCUGUAAAGCACUCCACCAAUCAGGUCUUAAUGGUAGAGUGGCCAGACGGGAAGCCACUCCUCAGUAAAAGGCACAUGGCCGCUGGCUUGAAGGCUGCCAAAAGGCACCUAAAGACUCAGACCACGAGAGACAAGAUUCUCUGGUCUGAAGAAACCAAUAUUGAACUAUUUUUGCCUGAAUGCCAAGUGUCAUGUCUGGAGGAAACCUGGCACCAUCCCUACGGUGAAGCAUGGUGGUGGCAACAUCUUGCUGUGGGGAUGUUUUUCAGCGGCAGGGACUGGGAGACUAGUCGGGGUCGAGGGAAAGAUUUAAUGGCGCAAAGUACAGACAUAAUUGAGGAAAACCUGCUCAGGACCUCAGACUGGGGUGAAGGUGCUCCUUCUAACAGGACAAUGACCCUAAAUCACAGCCAAGACAGAGAAGAAUGGGAUAAAAUCCCCAGAUACAGGCGUACCAAGCUUGUCGCGUCAUACCCAAGAUGGCUUAAGGCUGUCAAUGCUGCCAAAAAAUGCUAAAACAAACUACAGAGUAAAGGGUCUGUAUACUUGUGUAAAUGUGAUUUUUUUUUUAAAUAUAUAUUUUAUUUUUUAUAAAUGAGCAAACAAUUCUAAACCUGUUUUUUGCUUUGAGAUUAUGGGGUAUUGUUUAGAUUGAGGAAAAAAUCAAAUGUAAUCCAUUUUAGAGAGCUUAACGUCACAAAAUCUGUAAAAAGUCCAUGGGUUUGAUUAGGAUUUUAACGCCGAUACCGAUUAUUGGAGGACCAAAAAAGCCGAUACCGGUAUCGGAUGAUUUUAUUUAUAAUAAUGACAAUUACAACAAUACUGUAUGAACACUUAUUUUAGCUUUAUAUAAUACAUCAAUAAAAUCAAUUUAGCCUCAAGUAAAUAAUGAAACAUGUUCAAUUUGGUUUAAAUAAUGCAAAAACAAAGUGUUGGAGAAGAACGUACAAGUGCAGUAUGUGCUAUGUAAGAAAGCUAACGUUUCAGUUCCUUGCUCAGAACAUGGGAACAUGUUCUGAGCAAGGGACUGAAACGUUAGCUUGAAAGCUGGUGGUUCCUUUUAACAUGAGUCUUCAAUAUUCCCAGGUAAGAAGUUUUAGGUUGUUGUUAUUAUAGGACUAUUGCCAUCUAUACCAUUUGUAUUUAAUUAACCUUUGACUAUUGAUUUUCUUAUAGGCACUUUAGAAUUGCCAGUGUAACAGUAUAGCUUCCAUCCCUCUAGUUAGCGCGCGCUAACUAGCUAGCCAUUUCACUUCGGUUACACCAGCCUCAUCUCGGGAGUUGAUAGGCUUGAAGUCAUAAAUCGCGCAAUGCUUGACACACAACGAAGAGCUGCUGGCAAAACGCACGAAAGUGCUGUUUGAAUGAAUUUAUGUGCCUGCUUCUGCCUACCACUGCUCAGUCAGAUACUUAGAUGCUUGUAUGCUCAGUCAGAUUAUAUGCAACGCAGGACACGCUAGAUAAUAUCUAGUAAUCAUCUCCCAUGUGUAGUUAACUAGUGAUUAUGAUUGAUUUGUUUUUUAUAAGAUAAGUUUAAUGCUAGCUAGCAACUUACCUUGGCUUACUGCAUUUGCGUAACAGGCAGUCUCCUUGUGGAGUGCAACGAGAUGGGCAGGUCGUUAUUGCAUUGGACUAGUUAACUGUAAGGUUGCAAGAUUGAAUCCCCCGAGCUGACAAGGUGAAAAUCUGUCGUUCUGCCCUUGAACAAGGCAGUUAACCCACCGUUUCUAGGCCGUCAAUGAAAAUAAGAAUGUGUUCUUAACUGACUUGCCUAGUUAAAUAACGGUAUAAAAAAAUAUAUAUAUCUGCAAAUCCGCGCCCAAAAAUACCUAUUUCCGAUUGUUAUGAAAACUUGAAAUCGGCCCUAAUUAAUCGCCCAUUCCGAUUUAAUCGGUCGACCUCUAGUCUGAAUACUUUCCAAAGGCACUGUAUAUACACUAUACUUCUUGAAAUACUUUCCUAUCUCUCUCUCUUUGGGACAGUGUGGUGGACCGUUGUGAUGACACUGUAGACAUGUCACCUGUGCACCAGGUAGUCAAUAGAAGCUGUCCCUGUGGUGACACGGGCUGGAGAACAUCCUACUGAGGCUGCAGACAGGUCUGAGGGACAACCAGACCUCACAGGACAAACACUCACAGCCAAGAGGGACUCUGAAGCUCUGCCAGUGACCAUCGGGUUCUUGGUCACCUCCCUGACCAAGGCCCCUCCCCCCGAUUCCGCAGUUUGGCCCGGGUGGACAGCUCUAGUAAUAGUAUUGGUGGUUUAAAACGUCUUCCAUGUAAGAAUGCUGGAGGCCACUGUGUUCUUGAGGAUCUUCAAUGCUGCAGACAUUUUUUGGUUACCCUUCCCCAGAUCUGUGCCUCGACACAAUCCCGUCUCUGAGCUCUACAGACAACUCCUUCGACCUGAUUGCUUGGUUUUUGCUCUGACAUGCACCGUCAACUGUGGGACCUUUUAUAUAGACAGGUGUGUGCCUUUCCAAAUCAUGUCCAGUCAAUUACAUUUACCACAGGUGGACUCCAAUCAGGUUGUAGAAACAUCUCGUGGAUGAUCAAUGGAAUAGGAUAUACCUGAGCUAAAUUGAGGAUCAUAACAAAGGGUCUGAAUACUUAUAGAAAUACUUUAUCUGUAAUUUUUUUAUACAUUUGAAAAAAAUUCUGAUCCUGUUUUUGCUUUGUCCUUAUGGGGUAGUGUUUGUGGAUUAUUUUCUCUCAAUUUAAUCAAUUUUAGAACAAGGCUGUACCAUAACAAUGUGGGUAAGGGGUCUGAAUACUUUCUAACUGCACAGUGUAUAUUAAUGUAAUGAAAUUGGUCACAUACACAUCUAGCAGAUUUUGUUGCAAAAUGCUUGUGUUCCUAGCUCCAACAGUGCAAUAGUAUCUAAAAAUGAUUCACAACAAUGCACAAUCUAAAAAUAGAAGAAUGGCAUUAAGAAAUAUAUAAAUAUUAGAUUGAGAAAUGUCGGCUUGGCAUCGACUAAAAUACAUUAGAAUAGAAUACAGUAUAUACAUGAGAUGAGUAAAGCAGUAUGUAAACAUUAUUCAAGUGACAAGUGAUUCUAUGUGUAUAGGGGGUGUUCCCUUUAUUCCAUACAUCCUGCAUGUUAAUUCAUGGCCUUGGAAAUGUAAAUACUAAAAUAAUGUUUGGCUUUUAAAUUCUUUCUGUUCUGAGGCCUAAUGGAAUGGAUGAACAGCCAUGUAAAUGCCAAUUAUUAUUAAAUGCCUUAUUCUUAUCAUGUCUUUCCAAAUCCAUUUUGAUUACAAUAUCCCUGAGAUGAAUGUUGUAUAAUGUUAUGGUCCUUACGGCAAUGUAACUUGCACUUUGUUUUCAGGUUUGAAUGACAGUGUAUUCCCCUAAACUUAUUUCAAUAAAGUUGUUACUUGUUUAUAUGUAAGACCA
Molecule: long non-coding RNA, 3435 nt
Organism: Oncorhynchus tshawytscha (Chinook salmon)
Lineage: Eukaryota; Metazoa; Chordata; Actinopteri; Salmoniformes; Salmonidae
Source: Ensembl